CUGUUGACAUAGCUAUGCAGCUGAUUUGAAGAUACUUCAGUCUCCUUUCCAAGAAUGGCUUCCAACAAGGCAUCAUGGAUGAAUAUAUACUGCUCCUGAAAGACUUUCCCAUAGGAGCUGGGAGACAAAGGGUGUGCACUCAGCCCCCCUUGCAGCUCAAGCAAAGGAACUGAGGGGCGUCUCAUGGCAGCAGCAAUCUCCACACCACGACUGGCCUGCUGAGGCACUGUGCAGGCAGCCUUUGAACUUGCGCUUGGUUCUCCAACUCUCCCAGGAAGUCUGAAGGAAGAUUUGGCCCAAGUAAUCAAAACAGUAGCAGAGUUUCCAAGGUCCAAGUUCACAAGGCCCAAACUCCUGUUCAGCCCCCUUCAUGUGUUGAAUCCCAGGUAGAAAAAACAGAAGGACGCUGGCUGUACCUGCAGUGCACCAACACAGGGCCCAUGUCUGGCAUCCGAGCUGCUGAGGAUCUCCUCACGAAGGUCAGGACCGGGAGGGCAUACUCAGGAACUCCCAUGUCAGGCCACUGUGUGUAGUGAUACUGGAUCACUGCCCUCUCGUUCUGACGACCCUUGGGAUUUCCUUUUUGGCCCUGUGAAUGGUGUAAGAAGACCUCUUUAAUCUGCAUAUGAGCAUUCUGGAAACAAGGAUACAGAAUACCUGAAUUUCCAACUGAUAUCUCUGACUUAAGCUGUUUCUAGAAGAAGUGAGCACAGACAACCAGAAACUGCCACUGAAGUGAAAACACAGGCCAUGGACUUCACAGUGAGAUGGAACCAUAAGUGACUGGUGUCUAGCUAAGGAAAAUCGGCUUUUGAAGAGUUAAAGCCUCACCAUUCAGUAGCCCCUAAAAGUGCCUUAAGUCACUGGAAUGAGGGGCACACAAUUUACCAGGCCAGAAAUUAUUAAAAUAAUUUCUAUUUUAAGACCAUAA
This is a non-coding RNA of Ictidomys tridecemlineatus (thirteen-lined ground squirrel), 931 nucleotides long. NCBI's taxonomy places the organism in Eukaryota, Metazoa, Chordata, Mammalia, Rodentia, Sciuridae. The record is from RefSeq and is a predicted model, not a curated record.